GGACUACCGGGGUAUCUAAUCCUCUUCGAUCCCCAAAAUUCCGUAGUUCGGCGUCAAUAUAACAUAGAGAACAGUCUACACCUUUGGCUUUCGUGCAAGUAUUUUAGUUUUUCACAACUACUCUUGCCAUUCUGUAAACCUCUGCCAUAUUCAAGAUUUAUUUAUUAAAAAUACUCGUCUAAAAAAGUCUUUUUAGCAUUUCAUAAAAAAUAAAUAAAACAGCCUACCUACGCUUUACACCUAAUAAAGAUGAAUAACGCUAGUACCAGUGGUAUUACCGCGGCUGCUGGCAC
Molecule: ribosomal RNA, 293 nt
Filed under: uncultured bacterium
Lineage: Bacteria
Description: partial 16S ribosomal RNA
Source: RNAcentral